RNAcentral lists this ribosomal RNA (506 nucleotides) under uncultured bacterium. RNAcentral's name for it is "partial 16S ribosomal RNA". It matches the Rfam family "Bacterial small subunit ribosomal RNA", at positions 29 to 523 of the family's 1533-position model. The record is from RNAcentral.
AGUGAACGCUGGCGGUAGGCCUAACACAUGCAAGUCGAACGGCAGCACAGGAGAGCUCGCUCUCUGGGUGGCGAGUGGCGGACGGGUGAGGAAUACAUCGGAAUCUACUCUGUCGUGGGGGAUAACGUAGGGAAGCUUACGCUAAUACCGCAUACGACCUACGGGUGAAAGCAGGGGAUCUUCGGACCUUGCGCGAUUGAAUGAGCCGAUGUCGGAUUAGCUAGUUGGCGGGGUAAAGGCCCACCAAGGCGACGAUCCGUAGCUGGUCUGAGGGGAGGAUCAGCCAUAGUGGGGCUGAGACGCAGUCCAGACUCCUGCGGGAGGCAGCAGUGGGGAAUAUUGGACGAUGGGCGCAAGCCUGAUCCAGCCAUAGCGCGUGGGUGAAGAAGGCCUUCGGGUUGUAAAGCCCUUUUGUUGGGAAAGAAAUCCAGCUGGCUAAUACCCGGUUGGGAUGACGGUACCCAAAGAAUAAGCACCGGCUAACUUCGUGCCAGCAGCCGCAGUAA